AACGCACAUUGCGCCCCUUGGUAUUCCGAUGGGCAUGCCUGUUCGAGCGUCAUUAUCCUCCCUCAAACCUCGUGUUUGGUGUUGGGCCGCGUUGGUCGAGCGACCAACUGGUCUCAAAGAUAAUGACGGCGUCCGUGGGACCCUCGGUGCAACGAGCUUUUAACGAGCACGCGUCGAGUUUCAAGGACCCUCCGGGCCGGUCUAGACCUCUAUCUUCUCAGGUUGACCUCGGAUCAGGUAGGAAUACCCGCUGAACUUAA
Molecule: unclassified non-coding RNA, 260 nt
Filed under: uncultured fungus
Lineage: Eukaryota; Fungi
Description: partial contains 5.8S ribosomal RNA, internal transcribed spacer 2, and large subunit ribosomal RNA
Source: RNAcentral